Molecule: non-coding RNA, 354 nt
Organism: Myodes glareolus (Bank vole)
Lineage: Eukaryota; Metazoa; Chordata; Mammalia; Rodentia; Cricetidae
Source: RefSeq, a predicted model, not a curated record
UCAUGCACGUUUAGUCCAGCACUGUAGCACGGGAUGGUGAUGGUUUGGGUUAUCACUGUCGUUAUACAGCCGUAAUGUCCCAAAGACAAGCAUGGGAACAGCGGAAUGCCUCUUCGGACUUUUAUGACUCGCUAACUGCACAGGGUCAGCACAUCUGAGACAGUUCUUCCUCUGACGCCCCCUGGAGAUGCCUUUUGAAAGUUUUGUUAUCAUCCUGCGGGCAAAUCCCUGGCCCACUGGAACCCAAGAACCACUAUUUUGUUUCAAGGACUUCCUGUUUUCCUCUGGAACUUGAAAACCCUUUAGACAGCCUGCAGCAAAUAUAUUCAUAAUAAGAAAUGUAAGAAAAGUGGA